GUCCUACGGGAGGCAGCAGUGGGGAAUAUUGCACAAUGGGGGGAACCCUGAUGCAGCGACGCCGCGUGAGUGAAGAAGUAUUUCGGUAUGUAAAGCUCUGUCAGCAGGGAAGAAGAAAGACGAUACCUGACCAAGAAGCCCCGGCUAACUACGUGCCAGCAGCCGCGGUAAUACGUAGGGGGCAAGCGUUGUCCGGAUUUACUGGGUGUAAAGGGAGCGUAGACGGCAGGGCCAGACUGGAGUGAAAGGCAGGGGCCCAACCCCUGGACUGAACUGGA
Molecule: ribosomal RNA, 278 nt
Filed under: uncultured bacterium
Lineage: Bacteria
Description: partial 16S ribosomal RNA
Rfam family: Bacterial small subunit ribosomal RNA
Source: RNAcentral